AUUUAUUAAAAAAGAUACAAAAACCAGUAAAGAAUGAUGUUCAAUUAAUAAUGUAUAUAGCAGAUCCGCAGAACUCUCCACUGUACUUAAAAGACUUAUAUCAAACGGAAGACAAUGAAAUAGACAAAGAACAAUACCAAUCCGAAGAAAUUAUAAAAAGAAGGAUACGGCUGCGGAUUCGAAAGCUUAUCUAAUUAAAAUAUUCCCCAACAAAAUCGUAAGUUCUGGUAUAAGAAAAAAAAGAUUAAAAGACGCAAUUCCUUUAAGUACUAUGGGAAAAGAGGCAGAUCGAGCUUGGCGUGAAACAGUUGAUAUAUUUAAAGGUGUAUUCAACGUCUUUUACGGAGAAUUUAGAGAUUGUGUCAAUGAUAGUUUAAGAGAAUUCAGAAAAUAUGCCUAACAACCACUAGCAAUUAAAUUAGCUUUAAGACCAUUCGAAGAGGGAAUUUCCAGGCUAAGUUCCUCGAACACAAUAGAGAUGUCACUGUACGGAUUCUUCUUCGUUUAACCUCAUCACUAUCUUUUGACUGUGUUUUUGGUACACACAGGCACAAUUACAUCUUUCAUCUAUUAUUAUUUUGAUCAAAAUAAUAAAACAACAUAAUUCUAUUCAUAAUGUGAUCCAAAUAUCAACCAACAAUAUUUUUAUACGUGCUUUUUAUUACAUUUUAUUUUGGAAUAAUUAUGUACCAGAGUAAUAAGAAAAAAUUAUCAUGUUAAAGCUGUACUACGCCAGAUAUAUUGUUUUCGGUGAACGUAGCCUGGAAAGCCCUUAUGACGCUCCCCAAUGUCGUAUCGAGAUGAAAUCAAAAAUGAAUAUCCGAACAAAAAUAUUGAAGUAGUUUCAUAGUCAAAUUAUUAUGUGUAUAUCACUUCGUACAAUAUUUUUUUAUAAAUAUUUCUAUUUCCAUUUCUUAUACACACAUAUUUAUAUUAUAUUUGCAUUUUGAAUUAAGUAUCAUAUUGAAAAAUCUUGUCGUUUCUACAGUUAAAGGUACAUUGUCCGACCAGGUAUAGAACGCUGCCUACUGCUUUAAUCACAUAAAAAAUAAAUCCAUGGUAACAUCGUUUUAACGAAUACAUUUAAAAAAGAGUACAAACAUGAGCAAUAUAAU
Pectinophora gossypiella (pink bollworm) is the source of this 1115-nucleotide long non-coding RNA. RefSeq lists it as uncharacterized. NCBI's taxonomy places the organism in Eukaryota, Metazoa, Arthropoda, Insecta, Lepidoptera, Gelechiidae. The transcript has 5 exons. The record is from RefSeq and is a predicted model, not a curated record.